CUUUUGUUGCCCAGUAGAUACAACCCAAGAGGGGGGGUGAAUUGGGUCUUUUAAAACUUUUAUGCUACUUCUAAAACUUUAUGAUUAACUAUACUAAGUUGUAUAGAUGCACAGUGAAAGUUAAACUUAGCAAGGGUUUGAUGUAUAGACUUCGACUUGAUUAAAUAUGCUUGCAACUAAAGGAUGUGCGGAUAAGAAUUAAGCAAGCAAUUUAUCUAAGUAAGUAAGUGUGUUAGUUAGACAAUAACUAAAGGCAUUACAAACACAAAGGACAUAUAGUGGUUCGGUGCACCCCAGCACCUACAUCCACUCCCCAAGACCUCUUGGGAAUUUCACUAUAAUCCUACCGAUUACAGCCGGUUGUUUUACAAGCUCACAACCCAACUUGUUGUUUUACGAGCGCACAACGAACUCGGUCGGUUUUUCCAGGCUCACCGACUAGAACCAACCCCGAUUGUUUUCCCGGGCUCACAAUCAAACCCUUACACGUUGGUUUUACCCUCGGCUCACCAACAAACCUAAACCCC
Molecule: long non-coding RNA, 527 nt
Filed under: Phoenix dactylifera (date palm)
Lineage: Eukaryota; Viridiplantae; Streptophyta; Magnoliopsida; Arecales; Arecaceae
Description: long non-coding RNA (PDAC_LNC009053)
Source: RNAcentral